AGAGUUUGAUCCUGGCUCAGGACGAACGCUGGCGGCAGGCUUAACACAUGCAAGUCGAGCGGGGAAGGGUAGCUUGCUACCUGACCUAGCGGCGGACGGGUGAGUAAUGCUUAGGAAUCUGCCUAUUAGUGGGGGACAACAUUCCGAAAGGAAUGCUAAUACCGCAUACGCCCUACGGGGGAAAGCAGGGGAUCUUCGGACCUUGCGCUAAUAGAUGAGCCUAAGUCAGAUUAGCUAGUUGGUGGGGUAAAGGCCUACCAAGGCGACGAUCUGUAGCGGGUCUGAGAGGAUGAUCCGCCACACUGGGACUGAGACACGGCCCAGACUCCUACGGGAGGCAGCAGUGGGGAAUAUUGGACAAUGGGCGAAAGCCUGAUCCAGCCAUGCCGCGUGUGUGAAGAAGGCCUUUUGGUUGUAAAGCACUUUAAGCGAGGAGGAGGCUACUUGGAUUAAUACUCUAGGAUAGUGGACGUUACUCGCAGAAUAAGCACCGGCUAACUCUGUGCCAGCAGCCGCGGUAAUACAGAGGGUGCGAGCGUUAAUCGGAUUUACUGGGCGUAAAGCGUGCGUAGGCGGCUUUUUAAGUCGGAUGUGAAAUCCCUGAGCUUAACUUAGGAAUUGCAUUCGAUACUGGGAAGCUAGAGUAUGGGAGAGGAUGGUAGAAUUCCAGGUGUAGCGGUGAAAUGCGUAGA
RNAcentral lists this ribosomal RNA (692 nucleotides) under uncultured bacterium. RNAcentral's name for it is "bacterial SSU rRNA". It matches the Rfam family "Bacterial small subunit ribosomal RNA", at positions 8 to 694 of the family's 1533-position model. The record is from RNAcentral.